Molecule: long non-coding RNA, 776 nt
Organism: Perca fluviatilis (European perch)
Lineage: Eukaryota; Metazoa; Chordata; Actinopteri; Perciformes; Percidae
Exons: 3
Source: RefSeq, a predicted model, not a curated record
AGCCUCUGGCCCGCCCUCUCUUCUCGUAACCCAAACCACAUACUAAUUCAUGAAUUACAAACAAAGAGUCCCUUGUGGUUUGGGAGGGACCAGGCCGGCACUGCAAACGGGCGCUACAGCUGAACGGCUACGUGUCAAUUACAGGGAAACCUGGCUGACAGGGAGAGAAUCUCUUGUUGGGGCGAUCUCUAGCUGGUCUCUAGGCUGAGUCCUUGGCCCGGGCCUGGGGUGCGCAUCCGACCCACGGCACUUCGCUGCAUGUCAUCCUCCCCCCUCUCCUGUCAUUCUCCAGCUGCUCUAUAAUAAAAAAAAAGAUCAAGGCUGAAGCACAGGGGAGACCGCGCCUUUGCAGUAGAAGCCCACAAACUCUGGAAUGAGUUGCCUCUACAUAUUAGGCUGGCCCCUACACUGCCUGUUUUCAAAUCCCGUCUUAAAACAUAUUUUUAUUCCCAGGCUUUUAACCCAUUAGAAUAGUUGCCUUUCUAUAUUAUUGUCAUUUUGCUGUUAAACUGUCUUUUUGUUGUUUUUGUUUUCACUGUGUUAUUUCUAUAUAUUAGUUUUUUUCUGAUUGUACAGCACUUUGGUCUACUGUUGUUGUUUUUAAAUGUGCUUUAUAAAUACAUUUGGAUUGGAUAUGGAUAUAGAUUUCAUCACAUCACCCAGCCCUACAAAUAUUUUCAAACCAAUAAGACCAGAGAUGAAGCAAAAAAAGUGCUGAAAUGAUAAGUCAAUUAUUUAAUUAGUCAAAAAGCAGAAAAUGAAUGGGAGACUAUUUU